CCUUGUACACACCGCCCGUCACACCAUGGGAGUGGGUUNCAAAAGAAGUAGGUAGCUUAACCCUUCGGGAGGGCGCUUACCACUUUGUGAUUCAUGACUGGGGUG
Molecule: ribosomal RNA, 105 nt
Filed under: uncultured bacterium
Lineage: Bacteria
Description: partial 16S ribosomal RNA
Rfam family: Bacterial small subunit ribosomal RNA
Source: RNAcentral